UUUGUUUUUUAUUACAACUAUUGACGGACGUUUCAUUGCAGGAUAUAUAUGAAGCUGAAAACAACCACAACAAUGGGGUAACUAACAUAAACCUCGCCGGUGACAAAGUGAUAGUCGCACGGUUGAGUGAACGAAUCGAUUUUCUGAGACUGGAAACGUACACGUAAGGUUUUCAGAUCGAUUGGGGAUUUACGUCUGCAUAUGGGCGAACCCACGUACGCAGCGGUUCGGCAGCUCAACAUCACGCAUCCGAGGAGGAGCUUCGAUGCAUCCUGGAGUUUCACCAGCAGGGUCACCGGUGACAUGUUUGGAAGUGGCGGGCGGUACAGUCAUUACUGGCAGCCAGGGCCACACUGUUAACGUGUUCCGGCUUGAUAGCCACCUAUUGCAGUUCACCCUAAACGGCCAUUGCGGUCCUAUCACAUGUAUUUUCAUAGACCAGUGGCAGGCCGAGAUAGGCGCAUCUGGUUGCCAGGAUGGUGUGCUAUGUGUGUGGGACUUGAUACGGGGUGCCUGUAUGUACAAAAUUGAAGCCCAUGACGACAUGACGUCGUACUUGCCUGUUCCCCGA
Long non-coding RNA from Topomyia yanbarensis, 571 nucleotides. RefSeq lists it as uncharacterized. The transcript is spliced from 3 exons. The record is from RefSeq and is a predicted model, not a curated record. Lineage: Eukaryota; Metazoa; Arthropoda; Insecta; Diptera; Culicidae.